This 399-nucleotide long non-coding RNA is filed under the name Rattus norvegicus (Norway rat). RNAcentral's name for it is "long non-coding RNA NONRATT025214". Lineage: Eukaryota; Metazoa; Chordata; Mammalia; Rodentia; Muridae. The record is from RNAcentral.
GUCCAUUUUCCUUGGCAGACUCCAGCCCUUGGGUCCAUAUUACCCUAGAUUGGUGCUGAUGGCCACAACUCAGGAGUGAGGCAAGCUGCUGGGAUCCAGAAUGUUGGCUGGAACUACGACCAGUCUGCUGUGGUGGCCACUCUCCACUUAUCAGAGGUAAUCUCUCUAGCGGCCCAUUGGGGACCUUGUCCUGAGCACUCAGCACCCACCCUUUACAAGAAUUCUCUUUUAUUCUAGGCCACAGAAAACAAUGUAGCCUGGCAGAGAUUUCUUCCCUCUGGGCCUAUUGCUCUGCUCCCGGUAAGAGAUCCUCUGGCCAGUUAGCUCAAAGGUGGCUUGCCUGCCUUAGUCUUAAGAACUUUCCUUUCUGUUAGCCUGGUUUACUGGGCUCUGCUCCCA